Molecule: ribosomal RNA, 274 nt
Filed under: uncultured bacterium
Lineage: Bacteria
Description: partial 16S ribosomal RNA
Rfam family: Bacterial small subunit ribosomal RNA
Source: RNAcentral
AUACGGAGGGUGCGAGCGUUAAUCGGAAUUACUGGGCGUAAAGCGUACGUAGGCGGUUGGUUAAGUUAGAUGUGAAAGCCCCGGGCUUAACCUGGGAACUGCAUUUAAAACUGGCGAACUAGAGUUGAGUAGAGGGGAGUGGAAUUUCAGGUGUAGCGGUGAAAUGCGUAGAGAUCUGAAGGAACACCAGUGGCGAAGGCGACUCCCUGGACUCGAACUGACGCUGAGGUACGAAGGCGUGGGUAGCAAACGGGAUUAGAAACCCCAGUAGUCC